UCCGGUAUAGUACAUCGGCUAGUAUAUCCGCCUUUCAUGAUUGAUGUCGCGGGAGAGCGGGGUUCGAUUCCCCGUACCGGAA
This 82-nucleotide transfer RNA is filed under the name Kwoniella heveanensis BCC8398. RNAcentral describes it as "tRNA-Glu". It matches the Rfam family "tRNA". Rfam says of the family: Transfer RNA (tRNA) molecules are approximately 80 nucleotides in length. The record is from RNAcentral. Lineage: Eukaryota; Fungi; Basidiomycota; Tremellomycetes; Tremellales; Cryptococcaceae.